Molecule: ribosomal RNA, 468 nt
Filed under: uncultured bacterium
Lineage: Bacteria
Description: partial 16S ribosomal RNA
Rfam family: Bacterial small subunit ribosomal RNA
Source: RNAcentral
GAUGAACGCUGGCGGCGUGCCUAACACAUGCAAGUCGAACGGAAAGGCCCUGCUUUUGUGGGGUUCUCGAUUGCCGAACGGGUGAGUAUCACGCGAGUAUCCUGCCCUUGUCUUUCGGGUAACAUCACGAAACUGGGGCUAAUAUCGGAUAGGAGAUCCUGCUGCGUGGUGGGGGUUGGAAAGUUUCGGCGGUUGGGGAUGGACUGGCGGCUUAUCAGCUUGUUGGUGGGGUUGGUGAUUACCAAGGCUUAGAAGGGUAGCCGGCCUGCGAGGGUGAACGGCGACAUGAGGACUACGGGAGGCAGCAGACGGCAACGGGAGGCAGCGGUGGGAAAUAUUGCACAGUGGGCCGAAGUCUGAGACGACGGCGCCGCGUGCGGAAAGCCGGCUUUCUGGUUGUGAACCGCUUUCGCCUGAGACGAAGCGUUAUUGACGGUAACGAAUAAAGAAGCACCGGCUAACUACGUG